RNAcentral lists this ribosomal RNA (924 nucleotides) under uncultured bacterium. Its description in RNAcentral is "bacterial SSU rRNA". It matches the Rfam family "Bacterial small subunit ribosomal RNA", at positions 8 to 936 of the family's 1533-position model. The record is from RNAcentral.
AGAGUUUGAUUAUGGCUCAGGAUGAACGCUAGCGGCAGGCCUAACACAUGCAAGUCGAGGGGUAGAGUAAGCUUGCUUACUUGAGACCGGCGCACGGGUGCGUAACGCGUAUGCAAUCUACCUUAUACAGGGGAAUAGCCCAGAGAAAUUUGGAUUAAUGCCCCAUGGUAUUAUAGAGUGGCAUCACUUUAUAAUUAAAGUUCCAACGGUAUAAGAUGAGCAUGCGUCCCAUUAGUUAGUUGGUAAGGUAACGGCUUACCAAGACGAUGAUGGGUAGGGGUCCUGAGAGGGAGAUCCCCCACACUGGUACUGAGACACGGACCAGACUCCUACGGGAGGCAGCAGUGAGGAAUAUUGGUCAAUGGGCGCAAGCCUGAACCAGCCAUGCCGCGUGCAGGAAGACGGUCCUAUGGAUUGUAAACUGCUUUUAUACAGGAAGAAACCCUCCCACGUGUGGGAGAUUGACGGUACUGUAGGAAUAAGGAUCGGCUAACUCCGUGCCAGCAGCCGCGGUAAUACGGAGGAUCCAAGCGUUAUCCGGAAUCAUUGGGUUUAAAGGGUCCGUAGGCGGUCUUAUAAGUCAGUGGUGAAAUCCCAUCGCUCAACGAUGGAACUGCCAUUGAUACUGUAAGACUUGAAUGCUUAGGAAGUAACUAGAAUAUGUAGUGUAGCGGUGAAAUGCUUAGAUAUUACAUGGAAUACCAAUUGCGAAGGCAGGUUACUACUAAGUGAUUGACGCUGAUGGACGAAAGCGUGGGGAGCGAACAGGAUUAGAUACCCUGGUAGUCCACGCCGUAAACGAUGGAUACUAGCUGUUCGGAGCAAUCUGAGUGGCUAAGCGAAAGUGAUAAGUAUCCCACCUGGGGAGUACGCACGCAAGUGUGAAACUCAAAGGAAUUGACGGGGGCCCGCACAAGCGGUGGA